Dunckerocampus dactyliophorus (ringed pipefish) is the source of this 4866-nucleotide long non-coding RNA. RefSeq lists it as uncharacterized. The record is from RefSeq and is a predicted model, not a curated record. NCBI's taxonomy places the organism in Eukaryota, Metazoa, Chordata, Actinopteri, Syngnathiformes, Syngnathidae. The transcript is spliced from 4 exons.
GGAAGCUCCAUAGACAUCCAUUAAGCAAUGUACUGUAAAGGUGUGUUGAUGAUCGAGAUCACUACAGACAGACAUAGGCUGGACCACAGAUCACAGCACCUCCUUCAUUUCUUAACAAAGAUCGGCGGAGAAGCGGCGGAGUCAGCGGCUUCACGGCUUCUCCUCCGCCGAGCUGAGUCGAGGAAUGAAUGAAUGAAUGAGCGAGCGAGUGAAGGCGGGAAGGCGUUGAACCACUGAACUCUAUAACUGGAAUGGCCCCGAUCGCUUGCUGCGCAUUGGAGGCUUGAAGCCACCGGAAGUAUAGAAGUCGCCAUGUUGUUUCACCCAAAACAAGAAAGCCGCACAACUAAGAGGAGUUCGAGAUGCCGUCUUGUGCUGCUAUUAAUUGCACAAAUCGUGAUACUCGUGAAAAUCGCGAGAAGGGACUUACAUUUCACAGAUUUCCACACUGCAAUGCUCAACUUCUAAAGCAAUGGCUAGUAAAUAUGCGGAGAGACAGGUGGAUUCCUGCAGCCAGAUCGCAACUCUGUUCAAGUCAUUUCACCGAGGAGAACUUCGACAGGACCGGCCAGACUGUUAGACUAGGACAAAAUGCAGUUCCAACAAUAUUUGACUUUACUGAUCAUCUUCAAAAGCAGGGGUCUCAAACUCAGUUUACCCGGGGGCCACUGGAGGUAGUCUGGGUGAGGCUGGGCCUCAGCAAGUAUUGGGAGUAAGGCUCACGAUAACGAUAAUAUCUAUAACGAUAUCGCGUAUGCUGCAGGAAACACGUUCAGCAUGUUAGCUCACUUAAAGCGGCAUCAUUCGGCAGUGAACGUUACAGCUACAAGAAAGAAUACCUUAGUUAGCUUAGUGCUAACACCGAUAACGUCGGCAUAUAAACAACCUCUAGCAAACAAAUCUGACCGGGCCAAAGCAGUAACACGUGGUAUUGGAGUUUGUAUAGCCACGAGAUUACGACCACGUUCAGUUGUUGAGAGCGCUGGCUUUAAGGACAGUCAUGGAACAAAUGAUUAGACCACCCUCGUUUCUCCAGUUUCAUUUUCAUUUUAAUGCCUGAUACAACUACAGGUACCUUUGUUUGGACAAAUAUAACAAUAACAACAAAAAAUAGCUCAUAACCGUUCGAUUUUUUGGCAGUACAAUGCUAUAGCUAUUCAUGUUAGCAAUUUGGUUAUUAUCAAGAAAAGCAUGGAAGUUGCUGGAUAUCAGCUCUUAAAUUAAACUCUUAUGAGUUAUAUUUGUUAUCAUCAUAUUUGUCCAAACAAAUGUACCUUUAGUUGUACCAGACAUUACAAUGGAUCAAUAAACUGAGGAAACAAGGCUGGUCUAAUCAUUUUUUCCAUGACUGUACAUGAUUACAGUUCUUGUACCUCGCUACAAAAUACCAUCACGUCCUCACUUUAGCCAGAAAGUUAUACCAGCACUUUAUGAAAAAGCUAAUUAAUUGUCCAUAGGUAUGAAUGAGAGUGUGAAUGGUUGUCUGUCUAAAUGUGCCCUGCCAUUGGCUGGCGACCAGUCCAGGGUGUACCCCGCCUGUCGCCCCAAGUCAGCUGGGAUGGGCUCCAGCAUGCCCCAGCUACCCUAUUGAGGAUAAGCGGUAUAGAAAAUGGAUGGAUGGACAGAUGGUUGGACUUCACGUGCAACAGACAGAUUUAACUAACUGUCCAUUACAUUUCACUAAGUCUAAUUGGUCGCUUUUAUUUAUUUUAAAAAAUGUGUUUGCAUUUUUUUAAAUAAAAGCACUUUAAGACAUUUUUUAUGCCUUUUUUUGUGCCGAAAAUGACCCACUUCAAGAAACUGAACCGAACCAAAAUGACAUAUUAGUGUACCGUUCCACCCCUAGUAUUUACUUACCUGUUACAUGAUGUGCUGUCAUUUCGUGUGUGUGCGUUAGCACCACGAUUGUAGGCAGUGUUCUGUUUCGUGACCCCCAUUUCGCCAUGUGACUCUUAGUUCCGUGGUAGGUUAUGCUUUCACCCUGUGAGCAUCAUUGGCUUAACUUAGAGCUUGCGGGCCGCAUUUACAGUAGUCUUUCCUGUCAAGUCACGGGCCGCAAAAUCUGACUUGGCGGGCCGCAAACGGCCUGCGGGCCGCGAGUUUGAGACCACUGGUCUAGGAGUUUGUCGUUGGCAGAAAAUGCACCGCCGCUGGAUUCACCAAACGUGGAGUUCCUCGAGCCACGCUUUGCCAUGCCCAGUUGCGAGUAUUUCUCAGAUGUUUGCUUACUGUUGUACAGUGUUGUUUACAGCCACGUCGAGAAGCUAAUUGCUGAUGGUGUAACCAUUAGCUUCACAACAGAUAUGUGUUAAUUCCACCACAGGAGAUAUGUGACGUUACACAUAUCGGUAUCGUUUGAUAUCGUAAUCGAAAAUUGAAGGUUGGACAAUAUUGGCAUAUCGGAUGUUGGCAAAAAAAAAAGCUAGUUAUUUUUCUUCAUAAUGUAGCGUUAUUCUCGUAAGACGUUUUCUGGUUGGAUUAUUACUUUUUUCUCUUAAAAUUAUGACUUUAUUCUCGGAAAAUUGUUUUUGUUUUUUUUGUUUUUCAUUUUCCAACAAUUUCAACUUUUUUUCAUGUAAAGUUUUCCAAAAAUGACAACUUUGUUUUGUUUAUUUUUCAUAAUAUUACAACUUAAAAUGAUGUUAUUUUUCUUCAUAAUGUAAUAACGUUAUUCCCGUACAACUUUUACUGUUGGAUUAGAACUUUUUUCUAUGAAUAUUAUGACCUCAUUCUUGGAAAAUUACAGCCGAUUUUUCCAUUUUGUUUGUUCUCAUAAUAUCACGACUUUAAAAAAAUGUUUUUAAUAUUCAAAUUAAAGCGACCAAAAGUAUGUUAUUUUUCCUUUUAAUAUUAGGAUGUUAUUGUCAUAAAAUAUUGGCUUUUUCGUGUUAGUUCGCAACUUCUUAUUAGAAUAUUUUGGCUUUAUUCUUGUAGAAUGACUGCAGAUUUUUUCAUUUUUGCUGUUUUGUAGUAUUCUUGUUAUAGUCAAUUUUUUAGAAUGUGCCAUGGGCCCGAAAUGGACCCCGGGGCGCACCUUGGACACCCCAGCAAUACGCUUUGCACCGGGAGAAGACUUGCUUGUAUAUUGCAUUUGUACGUUCAUGCUUUUGGAGUUGUAUUUUGUGAAAUAAACGUUUUUUUGGUCAAGUGCAUGCAAGUGGCCCAAUCAUUUUCUCCACAAAUAGCCAGUAUAGUUUUUAAAAGUAAAAAUUCUGAAGACGUACCUGGAAUGAUGUGAUUCAUGAAUGACAACAUUACGCUAUGUUUGUCAUCCAGAAAGUGUAACAUGCCCCCAGCGCCGAUGCGGUGUUCUUAACGGUGACAAACGCUACAAAAAAUGCAGCAGUGAGUAUUGCUGACAGCUUUAAUGACAAUAGCGCAUAAACAGGAAGAAGCAGACGACGUGGUUGGCAUCUCAGCGAGCCCAUCCGUCUUAGAGGCACGUGGCCGUUUCCUUGGAGGGGCACAUUUGGCCGAAGCAGAUCUCCUUGAAGCCGGUCGCCUUGGUCAUCCCGCUGGCUGUAUGGUUGUAGAGGAGGCAGUAGUCGUUGGGGCUGCUGGCGGUGGUGUUGACUGAGGAGCUGCUAGACGCCUGCCAGGGAAGGACACAAGGAUGGAGGGUUUUCAUGUACGUCCACAAGAACUUUGGGGAGGACGGUGGGCUGAACUGGAAGGUGAUUUGGUUGGUUUUGUUGGUGUUGGGCGACGUGUGCGUCAUCUGGAGGACGGAGGGCGAGUACUUCACAAACUAAACAACACAACAACACAACUUGUCACACAACAACUUUCUUGCACUCCCUUGGAGCACAUUGUCACGUAUCACUAACUGUAACUAAAUGUGUUUAUUAUUUUGUAUUUUUAAUCUUGCAGACAGAAAUACAUUUGCAUACUGUGAUCAACUUUGUAUUUUUUAAGUAUUGUUAUACUUUGAAUGUUGAUGAACUGUUUAUAUUUAUUACUAUUUCUGUAUAGUUACAUUUUUGGUAUUAUAAUUAUUUACAGAGUGCACAGAAUGAUAUAAUUUUCUACACAGGGUAAAUUUAGUUGCUGAAACACAUGUUACACCUUAAGAUUGUGACCUUUAGUUGCAAUAUUCUAAAUAAUUCCAUUGCAGGGCUUAAGUAAGUAGAAGUGGGUUUUUUUGUUUCAAAAAAAGGUAGGAAUAAAGGACCAAAUAGUGUCAACUGGGCUUUGACAAUAUAUACUGAAUUUAACAAGUACGUAUUAAAUAUCCAUAUUCCCCAUGCAUUAUUUUUUUCAACAUAUUUUUCAUAUUUUGCACAAAUUGGCAUCUUUGACAUAUUUUUUUUGGUCCACAUGAAUUACAAAAUGGAAUCAUUUAUGAAGUUGUCCAUGAUGACAUUAUUAUUCUCAGCGCUGAACGGCAGCAGGAAGGUGAAGGCGGCGAGCAGAGUUGGGUUCAUGGUGGCUUUUGGUUGCAGAGUCAGUGCCAGGGCGAGGGCGGGACGUGCUUCUGGGCUUUAUGGAGCAAAUUUAUUCAAGCCCCGCCUCCCAAGGGAUCACUGCACUUUCACCACGAAAUGCAGCGAGACGGAUGGAGGCGUCAGCGUCACAUUGCCUCUUCUCGUCCAUGCUGCCUCGAUAGCACAAGUGUGAACAACUUCCUGGAAGAUAGUGGUGUGGUUUUAUUUGAUUGGUCCUCCGUGACGUGCUCUGUAUGAGUAUGAAAUCAGCAAAUCGGUCACGCACACCGCCAUUACUUUGUACAUACAUGGUGUUUUCCCCCUUCCUGAUUUAUUUAUUUGCACAUUUCAGAAUAUCAAACUAAUUGAAGUGUUAGUCAAUGGCAUCACAACUGAACACAAACUGCAGUUUUUAAAUGAAACUUAUUCAGGGAGAAAAAAA